RNAcentral lists this ribosomal RNA (496 nucleotides) under uncultured bacterium. RNAcentral's name for it is "partial 16S ribosomal RNA". It matches the Rfam family "Bacterial small subunit ribosomal RNA", at positions 29 to 507 of the family's 1533-position model. The record is from RNAcentral.
AACGAACGCUGGCGGCGCGUCUUAAGCAUGCAAGUCGAACGGCAAGAGAGGAGCUUGCUUCUCUCCUAGAGUGGCGGACUGGUGAGGAACACGUGGGUAAUCUACCCUUAAGAUGGGGAUAGCUGCUAGAAAUAGCAGGUAAUACCGAAUACACUCGGCAUAUCACAAGAGGUGUUGAGGAAAGGAAGCUACGGCUUCGCUUGAGGAUGAGCUUGCGUCCCAUUAGCUAGUUGGUGAGGUAAAGGCCCACCAAGGCGACGAUGGGUAUCCGGCCUGAGAGGGUGAACGGACACAUUGGGACUGAGAUACGUCCCAAACUCCUACGGGAGGCAGCAGCUAAGAAUAUUCCGCAAUGGACGGAAGUCUGACGGAGCGACGCCGCGUGGAUGAAGAAGGCUGAAAAGUUGUAAAAUCCUUUUGUUGAUGAAGAAUAAGGGUGAGAGGGAAUGCUCAUCUGAUGACGGUAAUCGACGAAUAAGCCCCGGCUAAUUACGUG